UUUCGCUUCCCCCCAUGUUGCUUAAUUGGUGUUAUGCUGACAUUUACCUCUGGUUCUAGCUCCCUUGACAAUACCAACCUGAUUUUCCUCUCUGCAGCAUUGUCCUAUAGCAUUGCUUCUGAAUGGCGUAAAUAUUCGAUGGCCUAAAGUUUAGCUACAUCCCUACCGCAACGUUUCUUGUAGUAUAUGAAGUUCCUGGCUCCAUACCCAAG
RNAcentral lists this long non-coding RNA (212 nucleotides) under Setaria viridis. Its description in RNAcentral is "long non-coding RNA (SVIR_LNC001889)". Lineage: Eukaryota; Viridiplantae; Streptophyta; Magnoliopsida; Poales; Poaceae. The record is from RNAcentral.